Molecule: long non-coding RNA, 1985 nt
Organism: Esox lucius (northern pike)
Lineage: Eukaryota; Metazoa; Chordata; Actinopteri; Esociformes; Esocidae
Source: Ensembl
ACAUACACCUCCAGACUGGCCAUCUAGCUGGUACUCAUGGUUCCUGUAAGUAGUUAAGGGUUGUUUGGAUUCACCGGGAUUCUUCCAGGAUUCUGUGGUGGAAGUGCACGUUAUUCCGCUUAAAUAAAGUCUCUGAUUCAAGCAUAAGUUACAGGCAAGACCCGGUCUAGAGUCGGGAUGUCCCCGGAUCAUCAUUGAAAGACCUUCAGGCGUCCACAGUUUGCUGGGAUGUUCGCCAAGAUCCGUUCAUCAAAAUAAAGCAAACAUCCCAAAGCCUCAAUAACUCCAAAUGGGCUACGACCAUCACGUUCAUAGAGGGUUGAUACAAUAUAUAGAGAUUUUGCUAUUGUUGUAGAAUACUGUCUCUAAAUGACUCUUAAAGUUACGGCAGAGUCAAUGAAGCAGACUGUCAUACGCUACAGCCUCUCCUGGCAGCCUCCAAAUGCAUUAUUCACUGUGUUUACUAUGACUCCACCUAAUGGAGUGGCUCCAACUCAGCAAACUUGUCUUGGAACAACCGAGCAGCUGUCGCACUUAAACAGAAAGUGAUGCGAGAAGAGAGAUCGACGUGAUUUCACACUUGUUUGCCAUUGUUUCAUUGGAUAUAGCAAAGAAAAGCAUAUUUUGUCUGAGUGGUCCAUCAGACUUAGAUGAGGGAGACACAGUGGUCCGUUUAUGUCUCCGUUAGGACUGUGCAGAGAUUUACUGCUAGAGCCAAGAUGGAUGACAGGGCUGAUACGUCACCGCCCGCUUCUGCUGCCUGAGCUCCAGAGGCGGGGCAGCAGCCAGGGAGACGACCAGCCAGAGAGCAAGGGUACUGGGGUUUCCAGAAACCGUCUCUCCCUGUCCACCCUCUUCUCGUGCCCCUUCUCUUUCUGCCAGAUUUAGCAGACAUUGUUCUGGGUUAACUUAAAAGGAGGUUGCAUGUGGUACUUGAGCAUGUGGUUUGCUGUUGAGCAAGGGCCAUUUCAUCAGAGGUAUUCGCAGGAGAGUCUAAAUAGGAGAGCGAGGAAGGCUGGAACCUGGUGUCAGUGGUUGCCUUGGCAGCGCUUGUAGUCCUGAUUGUCCCCAGCCUGUCUAGGGUGUUUACCUGAGGACCACACCGACAAAGUCUCUGCAAUGGGAAUGAUCGUUCUGGUGGCCCCUGGCAACACUGGCAAAGCCAUGACCCUAUCCCAUGAUGCCCCUGUCAAGGCUCCUACUCGCUUCAUCAUCCUAGGAGGACAGACAUUUUCAGCACAAAAUACACCACAACAAGGAAUUAGCCUGAAACAUUACUCAAGGAAUAAUGCAUACUAUGUGCCUGCCACUUAAGGUUGCAAGAUUCCGGUAACUUCCCCAAAAUGUACAGGUCUUCCAAAAAUUCUGGGCAGAGGAUUCUGGAUUUUUAUCUGCUGAUCUCUUUAAAGUCCUUUAUUUGUUUCCCUCUCUGCUAAUCUCCCCUUCACUUCUCUAAUAAACAUCUCCACAAGAAUAUUGGACCAGCUUAAUAUGAGGGAGAUGUGGUUAGCUGUUUGUGGCAGGUAUUGAGGCAUUGGUUACAGUGAAUAAACAUAAUUCAUCGAACAUGUCUGAGCAUUUGUCAAUUAGUUUAUUGAUUGACAAACUGUAAAGGCUCACUAUAGGAAAGGUCAUGCCUUAUUCUUUCCUUUGAUGAAUGGCUGAGUGCUUGCCCUUAUUGUGACGCUGAUGACACUCAAACUUAAAUGGUGUGGAUAUUGAGAAGGUACAUGUUAUUCAGGAAGUAAACGCAAUCACAUGUUUUACUGUUUCUAAUGGGCAUGUGAUCUUUCCACAGAUCUUUCUCCUCAUUUUCAGUCAAUUACCAUUACAAUUGUCUCUGCUACACCAGUCUCUCUACCAUUCACAAUUUACACAUUUCCUUCUGUUUUGUGGCAUGCUCUGUGUAGGUCUAAAAAUACCAAACUGUUAUAAAGGAUUUAAAAAAAUGAAAUGAUAAAUACUGUAUGAGCGUGUGAAGGAGG